This 2018-nucleotide ribosomal RNA is filed under the name human gut metagenome. RNAcentral describes it as "bacterial LSU rRNA". It matches the Rfam family "Bacterial large subunit ribosomal RNA", at positions 1 to 1962 of the family's 2925-position model. The record is from RNAcentral.
GCAAGAUACCACGGGCGCACGGCGGAUGCCUUGGCACAGGGAGCCGAUGAAGGACGCGGCAAGCUGCGAUAAUCCCCGGCGAGGAGCACACAUCCUUCGACCCGGGGGUCUCCGAAUGGGCGAACCCAUGCACAGCAGUGUGCAUAUCCCCGGCCUGAACACAUAGGGCCGGGGAGGACAACCCGGGGAACUGAAACAUCUAAGUACCCGGAGGAGAGGAAAUCAAUCUCGAGACUCCCCGAGUAGCGGCGAGCGAAAGGGGACCGAUGGCCAAACCGUCGAGCGGGCAUACCCGGCAGGGGUUCCGCCGACGGGGUUGCAGGGCCGCGCAUCCGGGGGCUGCCGCCCCCGGGCGCAGGUCCGGCUGGGGAGCGGAACGGCAUGGGAGGGCCGGCCGCAGCGGGUGACAGCCCCGUACGCGAACCCAGACCGGACGGCGCGACGCGGUCCCUGAGUAGGGCCGGGCACGUGAAACCCGGUCCGAACCUGGGUGGACCACCAUCCAAGCCUGAGUACUACCCUGUGACCGAUAGCGCACCAGUACCGUGAGGGAAAGGUGAAAAGCACCCCGGGAGGGGAGUGAAACAGUACCUGAAACCGUGCGCCCACGAGCAGUCGGAGCACCUUUAUGGUGUGACGGCGUGCCUUUUGUAGAAUGAGCCAGCGAGUCGCUGGCGCGGGGCGAGGUUAACCGAAAGGGAGCCGAAGCGAAAGCGAGCCUUAACAGGGCGACUUGAGUCCCGCGCCGCGGACGCGAAGCCGGGUGAGCUAUCCGUGGGCAGGCUGAAGCGGGGGUAAGACCCCGUGGAGGGCCGAACGCACGUCGGUUGAAAACGGCGGCGAUGACCUGCGGAUAGGGGUGAAAGGCCAAUCAAACCCGGAGAUAUCUCGUUCUCCCCGAAAUAGCUUUAGGGCUAGCGUCGCGCGUUCACCGCCGGAGGUAGAGCACCGGAUGGACGAGGGGGCUUCGCCGCCUACCGAAUCCAACCGAACUCCGAAUGCCGGCGGCCCAGAGCGCGGCAGUCAGAGCAUGUGGGCUAAGCUGUGUGCUCGAGAGGGAAACAGCCCGGACCGCCCGCUAAGGUCCCCAAGUUCCAGCCGAGUGGCAAAGGAUGUGCGUCCGCCCAGACAACCAGGAUGUUGGCUUAGAAGCAGCCAUCCAUUCAAAGAGUGCGUAACAGCUCACUGGUCGAGUGGACAUGCGCCGACAAUACACGGGGCUAAGCUGGACACCGAAGCGGCGGGAUUUUGAUUUUCAGAAUCGGUAGGGGAGCUUCCCAUGGGCGGAGAAGCCGGAGGGCGACCGACGGUGGAGCGCAUGGGAGUGAGAAUGCUGGCAUGAGUAGCGAGAGACGAGAGAGUAACUCGUCCGCCGUGAACCCGAGGUUUCCUGGGCAAGGCUAAUCCUCCCAGGGUCAGUCGGGGGCUAAGGCGAGGCCGGGAGGCGUAGCCGACGCGCAGCAGGCAGACAUUCCUGCACCGCGCACGCGGCGCUACGACCGACGGGGCGACGGAUGGGGGUGGCUCGGCGGGGUUCUGGACGUCCCCGUGAUGGAGCGCGGCCCGCGGACCAGGGAAAUCCGGUCCGCAGAAGGGCGAGGCUCCGGACGAAGCGACUGAGCGAAGCGAGUGAGCCCGAGGUCCCUAGAAAAACCCCUAGGCAGGCGCGUGCGCGCCCGUACCGCAAACCGACACAGGUGGGUGGGUAGAACAUACCGAGGCGAUCGGGUCAACCAUGGUCAAGGAACUCGGCACAAUGGCCCCGUAACUUCGGGAGAAGGGGUGCCCGCGCGUACGUGAACGGACUUGCUCCGGGAGCGGAGGCGGGCCGCAGUGGAGAGGCCCAAGCGACUGUUUACCAAAAACACAGGACUCUGCAGAAGCCGCAAGGCGACGUAUAGGGUCUGACGCCUGCCCGGUGCCGGAAGGUCACGCGGAGGAGUUAGCGCAUCGCGCGAAGCCCCGAAGCCAAGCCCCGGUAAACGGCGGCCGUAACUAUAACGGUCCUAAGGUAGCGA